Molecule: ribosomal RNA, 229 nt
Filed under: uncultured bacterium
Lineage: Bacteria
Description: partial 16S ribosomal RNA
Rfam family: Bacterial small subunit ribosomal RNA
Source: RNAcentral
UCCGUAGGCGGGUAAUUAAGUCAGAGAUGAAAUCCCACAGCUUAACUGUGGAACUGCCUUAGAUACUGGUUAUCUUGAGUUUUAGUGAAGUAGAUAGAAUGUGUAGUGUAGCGGUGAAAUGCAUAGAUAUUACACAGAAUACCGAUUGCGAAGGCAGUCUACUAACUAACAACUGACGCUAAUGGACGAAAGCGUGGGGGACUAACAGGAUUAGAUACCCUGGUAGUCC